This 327-nucleotide unclassified non-coding RNA is filed under the name Hevea brasiliensis (rubber tree). Lineage: Eukaryota; Viridiplantae; Streptophyta; Magnoliopsida; Malpighiales; Euphorbiaceae. The record is from RNAcentral.
CAACCACUGAGAAAACUGAAACCUGUAGGCAAUUUCUAAUUAAUGCCACAGCAAGGCAAAAUCCAAUGCAAGUCCAGAACCAGGUAAAAGAAAGGAAAAAUUACUAAAACCACAUUGAAAUUUGCCAAUAUUCACACUUGCAUCUUUGUUUUUUCAAAAUCAAAUGAAAUGAUCCUCAACUUUUGAAUUUCAUACAUUUUAGUCUUCCAGUUAAAAUAGCAUAUACUUAAGUCCCUGAGAUAGUGUUUUGAAUAACAUUUUAGUCUUUGAGUUUUCAAAUAAAGCUAAUUUUUCAUCCCUUAAAAAAAAUAAAAAAUGAGGGACAAG